GCCAGCGUAGCUCAGCGGUAGAGCAGCGGUUUCGUAAACCGCAGGCCAUGGGUUCGAAUCCCUUCGCUGGCUCCA
Molecule: transfer RNA, 75 nt
Filed under: Candidatus Fermentithermobacillaceae bacterium
Lineage: Bacteria; Bacillati; Bacillota; Candidatus Fermentithermobacillia; Candidatus Fermentithermobacillales; Candidatus Fermentithermobacillaceae
Description: tRNA-Thr
Rfam family: tRNA
About the family: Transfer RNA (tRNA) molecules are approximately 80 nucleotides in length. Their secondary structure includes four short double-helical elements and three loops (D, anti-codon, and T loops). Further hydrogen bonds mediate the characteristic L-shaped molecular structure. tRNAs have two regions of fundamental functional importance: the anti-codon, which is responsible for specific mRNA codon recognition, and the 3' end, to which the tRNAs corresponding amino acid is attached (by aminoacyl-tRNA synthetases). tRNAs cope with the degeneracy of the genetic code in two manners: having more than one tRNA (with a specific anti-codon) for a particular amino acid; and 'wobble' base-pairing, i.e. permitting non-standard base-pairing at the 3rd anti-codon position.
Source: RNAcentral